UAGCCUUAAACUUAUGAGUAAGGAAAAUAAAAACCCGGGUGACGCUGGGUUUACGCAAAUACUCGUUGCGAAAAAUAUUUGGAGGGUGGCAGGCUGCCCUGGGGCUUGAUUCGCCUACUUUUGCGAAUCGCUCUUGUUGCUGCGGCCUCCGCA
Molecule: small nuclear RNA, 153 nt
Organism: Hydractinia symbiolongicarpus
Lineage: Eukaryota; Metazoa; Cnidaria; Hydrozoa; Anthoathecata; Hydractiniidae
Product: U12 minor spliceosomal RNA
Exons: 1
Source: RefSeq, a predicted model, not a curated record